RNAcentral lists this ribosomal RNA (1482 nucleotides) under metagenome. RNAcentral's name for it is "bacterial LSU rRNA". It matches the Rfam family "Bacterial large subunit ribosomal RNA", at positions 1309 to 2915 of the family's 2925-position model. The record is from RNAcentral.
GCUGAUAAGGAGUGUGGGAAACACUCCCGCCGUAAGUCCAAGGGUCCCUGCGCAAGGUUAAUCCGCGCAGGGUUAGUCGGUCCCUAAGGCGAGGCCGAGAGGCGUAGUCGAUGGGAAGCAGGUUAAUAUUCCUGCACCUGCUGGUAGUGACGGAUUCUGUGGGUUGUCCGGAGGAAUGGUUCUAUCCGGGCAGCGAAGGAGUCCCAGGAAAUAGCUCCAGCGUAUAGACCGUACCCGAAACCGACACAGGUGGACUGGUAGAGUAUACCGAGGCGCUUGAGAGAACGAUGUCGAAGGAACUAGGCAAAAUGCCCUCGUAACUUCGGGAGAAGAGGGCCUCAUUCUUGGGCAACCAGGGAUGAGGGGCACAGACCAGGGGGUAGCGACUGUUUACUAAAAACACAGGGCUCUGCGAAGCCGAGAGGCGACGUAUAGGGUCUGACGCCUGCCCGGUGCCGGAAGGUUAAGAGGAGAGGUGCAAGCCUUGAAUCGAAGCCCCGGUAAACGGCGGCCGUAACAAUAACGGUCCUAAGGUAGCGAAAUUCCUUGUCGGGUAAGUUCCGACCUGCACGAGGGCGUAACGACUUCCCCGCUGUCUCCGACAUCGACUCAGCGAAAUUGAAUUCCCCGUGAAGAUGCGGGGUACCCGCGGUUAGACGGAAAGACCCCGUGCACCUUUACUACAACUUUGCAGUGGCAUUAGGGAAAGGAUGUGUAGGAUAGGCGGGAGGCUAUGAAGCGGGGGCGCCAGCUCUCGUGGAGCCAUCCUUGAAAUACCGCCCUUUCGUUCUCUGAUGUCCAACCGAGGUCGUGAAACGCGAUCCGGGACCCUGCAUGGUGGGUAGUUUGACUGGGGCGGUCGCCUCCUAAAGAGUAACGGAGGCGCGCGAUGGUGGGCUCAAGCCGGUCGGAAAUCGGCUGUGGAGUGCAAUGGCAUAAGCCCGCCUGACUGCGAGGCCGACAAGCCGAGCAGAGACGAAAGUCGGUCAUAGUGAUCCGGUGGUUCCGCGUGGAAGGGCCAUCGCUUAACGGAUAAAAGGUACGCCGGGGAUAACAGGCUGAUCUCCCCCAAGAGUCCACAUCGACGGGGAGGUUUGGCACCUCGAUGUCGGCUCAUCGCAUCCUGGGGCUGGAGCAGGUCCCAAGGGUAUGGCUGUUCGCCAUUUAAAGCGGUACGUGAGCUGGGUUUAGAACGUCGUGAGACAGUUCGGUCCCUAUCUGCCGUGGGUGUUCGAGACUUGAGAGGCGCUGUCCCUAGUACGAGAGGACCGGGAUGGACGUACCUCUGGUGUACCGGUUGUGGCGCCAGCCGCAUCGCCGGGUAGCUAUGUACGGACGGGAUAAACGCUGAAUGCAUCUAAGCGUGAAACCCUCCUCAAAACCAGGUCUCGCUAGACAGGGCCGUGGCAGACCACCACGUUGAUAGGCCGCAGGUGCAAGCACAGUGAUGUGUUCAGCCAAGCGGUACUAAUCGCCUGAAAA